AUGCUAUACAGUGGGAAAACCAGCCUGGCAACAUAGUGCGUAUUAAUAAAAGGACACCACAUCCUGCCAAAUUCCAGCUGCGCUAAUUGUAUUGUGUUCACAGAGCUCACAAGCUAUCAGAAAGUUGUAUGGCAACCACCUCCGGCGCCAAAUAGAACUGGCAGACAUAGACAUUCAGUACAAGAAGAAAAAGAUGGAAAAUCUUGCACUGGAGUCCGAAAUAAAAAAGAGGACAAUUAGGAAACUGGACCUUGAAAUAAAAAAAACUUGAGAGGGAGCUCCAAGAAGAUGACACAGCUCAAAAUAAAAAUUAGCAAUCAGUACAACCAAGUCAUCGUUAUAAGGCAUCGCCCUCUUUUGCCCACCCCCAGCACCAGGUGUGGCCACUAGCCUAUAUGAAGGCCCAAAAUUGUGUGUUCCUUUCUGCUCUGACAAUGGCAUGCCCAUUCGUGCGAGAUGUGGUGGAUGAAGAAGCACUUGUGCUGAGGAGAGCCUUCAGGCGAGAAAGGGUCUUCAGGGAC
This is a long non-coding RNA of Oncorhynchus masou masou (cherry salmon), 521 nucleotides long. RefSeq lists it as uncharacterized. The record is from RefSeq and is a predicted model, not a curated record. Lineage: Eukaryota; Metazoa; Chordata; Actinopteri; Salmoniformes; Salmonidae. The transcript has 3 exons.